Molecule: ribosomal RNA, 492 nt
Filed under: uncultured bacterium
Lineage: Bacteria
Description: partial 16S ribosomal RNA
Rfam family: Bacterial small subunit ribosomal RNA
Source: RNAcentral
AGUGAACGCUGGCGGUAUGCCUAAUACAUGCAAGUCGAACGACCACACAAUAAGAUUUCUCUCCUAAGGGUAGCGAGUGGCGGACGGGUGAGAAAUACAUAAGCUACCUCUUUUACUUGGGGGAUUUCGUGGGAACACUUCUACUAAUACAUAAUAUGUCCUACGGCUGAAUUCAGUAGUUAUUCGCGCUUUGCCCGUCACUUUUAGCUGAUGUCGCAUUAGCUAGUUGACGGGGUAAGGGCCCACCAAGCCGACGCUCCGUAGCUGGUCUGACAGGAUGAUCAGCCACACUGGAACUGAGACACGGUCCAGACUCCUACGGGAGGCAGCAGUGGGGAAUAUUGGACAAUGGGCGCAAGCCUGAUCCAGCCAUACCGCGUGGGUGAAGAAGGCCUUCGGGUUGUAAAGCCCUUUUGUUGGGAAAGAAAAGCAGCAGGUUAAUACCCCGCUGUUCUGACGGUACCCAAAGAAUAAGCACCGGCUAACUUCGUG